GACGAACGCUGGCGGCGUGCCUAAUACAUGCAAGUCGAACGCAUUUUCUUUCACCGUAGCUUGCUACACCGAAAGAAAAUGAGUGGCGAACGGGUGAGUAACACGUGGGUAACCUGCCCAUCAGCGGGGGAUAACACUUGGAAACAGGUGCUAAUACCGCAUAAUUCCAUUUACUGCAUGGUAGAUGGAUGAAAGGCGCUUUUGCGUCACUGAUGGAUGGACCCGCGGUGCAUUAGCUAGUUGGUGGGGUAACGGCCUACCAAGGCUGCGAUGCAUAGCCGACCUGAGAGGGUGAUCGGCCACACUGGGACUGAGACACGGCCCAGACUCCUACGGGAGGCAGCAGUAGGGAAUCUUCGGCAAUAGACGCAAGUCUGACCGAGCAACGCCGCGUGAGUGAAGAAGGUUUUCGGAUCGUAAAACUCUGUUGUUAGAAAAGAACAAGGAUGAGAGUGGAAAGCUCAUCCCUUGACGGUAUCUAACCAGAAAGCCACGGCUAACUACGUG
Molecule: ribosomal RNA, 507 nt
Filed under: uncultured bacterium
Lineage: Bacteria
Description: partial 16S ribosomal RNA
Rfam family: Bacterial small subunit ribosomal RNA
Source: RNAcentral